This 253-nucleotide ribosomal RNA is filed under the name uncultured bacterium. RNAcentral's name for it is "partial 16S ribosomal RNA". It matches the Rfam family "Bacterial small subunit ribosomal RNA", at positions 524 to 776 of the family's 1533-position model. The record is from RNAcentral.
UACGUAGGGUGCGAGCGUUAAUCGGAAUUACUGGGCGUAAAGCGUGCGCAGGCGGUUCUGUAAGGCCGAUGUGAAAUCCCCGGGCUUAACCUGGGAACUGCAUUGGUGACUGCAGAGCUAGAGUGUGUCAGAGGGAGGUGGAAUUCCGCGUGUAGCAGUGAAAUGCGUAGAGAUGCGGAGGAACACCGAUGGCGAAGGCAGCCUCCUGGGAUAACACUGACGCUCAGGCACGAAAGCGUGGGGAGCAAACAGG